GAAACGACACUAACAAUCCUUCGGGUGCGUUAUUGGGCGUCGAGCGGCGGACGGGUGAGUAAUGCCUAGAUAUCUGCCUAGUCGUGGGGGAUAACAGUUGGAAACGACUGCUAAUACCGCAUACGCCCUACGGGGGAAAGGGGGGGACCUUCGGGCCUUUCGCGAUUAGAUGAGUCUAGGUGGGAUUAGCUAGUAGGUGAGGUAAUGGCUCACCUAGGCGACGAUCCCUAGCUGUUCUGAGAGGAUGAUC
RNAcentral lists this ribosomal RNA (250 nucleotides) under uncultured bacterium. Its description in RNAcentral is "partial 16S ribosomal RNA". It matches the Rfam family "Bacterial small subunit ribosomal RNA", at positions 60 to 305 of the family's 1533-position model. The record is from RNAcentral.